RNAcentral lists this long non-coding RNA (606 nucleotides) under Ananas comosus (pineapple). RNAcentral's name for it is "long non-coding RNA (ACOM_LNC030648)". Lineage: Eukaryota; Viridiplantae; Streptophyta; Magnoliopsida; Poales; Bromeliaceae. The record is from RNAcentral.
CUCUUUGUUGGGAACCGGAUGGAUCGUCCGUCAUGUGCUACCAACAAAGAUGCACGAAAAAUAGAGAAAAUCGACCGAACGGUAAAAAAAAUAAAUGCAGAAAGAAGAAACCAAGAUUUACGUGGUUCGGCAAUCGCCUACGUCCACGGGGAGAGCGAGAGAGAUGUAUUCCACUAUAUGAAGAAAUAGAAGUACAAGCUUACACCUUAUGUCUUCUCCGGAUAAAAAAUCAAGAACCUUAUGGUGAAUCCCACUUANAGAGCGAGAGAGAUGUAUUCCACUAUAUGAAGAAAUAGAAGUACAAGCUUACACCUUAUGUCUUCUUCGGAUAAAAAACCAAAAACCUUAUGGUGAAUCCCACCUAUCUUGUUCCAACGAAAACUCCAAGAAAAUACCGAAAAAGCUUUUCAUAAAACCGAGAAAACCAAAUUAGAGAAGUAUAGAAACUCUAACCAAAUUCCUUUAUGCCGUUGCUUCGAAGAAUCCGAACCGCUCAGGCAAUUGGUUGAGAACCGCCGCUCCGCCGCCAACGUCAAUCCGUCGCAUGCGUGCUACCGCGCAUCUCCUUCUCUUGCUACCGUCGUACGGCUCCCGGAACCAUGAAUU